This 440-nucleotide ribosomal RNA is filed under the name uncultured bacterium. Its description in RNAcentral is "partial 16S ribosomal RNA". It matches the Rfam family "Bacterial small subunit ribosomal RNA", at positions 338 to 795 of the family's 1533-position model. The record is from RNAcentral.
CCUACGGGAGGCAGCAGUAGGGAAUAUUGCACAAUGGGCGAAACCCUGAUGCAGCGACGCCGCGUGAGUGAAGAAGGAAUUCGUAUUGUAAAGCUCUAUUAGCAGGGAAGAAAAUGACGGUACCUGAGUAAGAAGCACCGGCUAACUACGUGCCAGCAGCCGCGGUACUACGUAGGGGGCAAGCGUUAUCCGGAUUUACUGGGUGUAAAGGGAGCGUAGACGGCAUUGCAAGUCUGGAGUGAAAGGCGGGGGCUCAACCCCCGGACUGCUCUGGAAACUGUACGGCUGGAGUGCAGGAGAGGUAAGUGGAAUUCCUAGUGUAGCGGUGAAAUGCGUAGAUAUUAGGAGGAACACCAGUGGCGAAGGCGGCUUACUGGACUGUAACUGACGUUGAGGCUCGAAAGCGUGGGGAGCAAACAGGAUUAGAUACCCUUGUAGUC